AGAAAAACGAAGAUAGGGAGCAGUACUUUUUUCGGCCCUUAUAUAGCGAACUGAGGAUGGUGGAAGCUCAGGAUAAGGAGAAGAAAGGAAUAUCACCCUUGAGUUCCACGCUGAACGAUUGAAGUAAGCGCUGGCGUGUAUUCGCGUUAAGAAUGUAAAGAGGAUUAUAUAUACAUAUAGUCUACAAGGGUGGUACCGCGGGAAACCUUCUCGUCCCUUUU
This 221-nucleotide non-coding RNA is filed under the name Bacillus manliponensis. Its description in RNAcentral is "T-box sequence". It matches the Rfam family "T-box leader". Rfam says of the family: Uncharged tRNA acts as the effector for transcription antitermination of genes in the T-box leader family. T-boxes are found upstream of many aminoacyl-tRNA synthetase genes and some amino acid biosynthetic genes usually in Gram-positive bacteria. Lineage: Bacteria; Bacillati; Bacillota; Bacilli; Caryophanales; Bacillaceae. The record is from RNAcentral.